This is a long non-coding RNA of Lolium perenne, 2197 nucleotides long. RefSeq lists it as uncharacterized. Lineage: Eukaryota; Viridiplantae; Streptophyta; Magnoliopsida; Poales; Poaceae. The record is from RefSeq and is a predicted model, not a curated record.
CUAUUCACUCGGUGAUACUUAUGAUUUCUACAACUUAUACUUGUGGGAGCAUGGUUUCAGAAUUAGGUGUGGAAAGAGCCACCUGAGUGUAGAGAAAUCAAAAUGAAUGCAGGAAAUUGUGUGCGGAUGCUCGGGCAAACCGUCAUCGGAGAACACUAAAUUAUGCCGAGGCGAAUGCCCUGCAAUGAUCGGGUUGCUUGAAACAGCGGACAAUGGAUGGUACAUAAUUGAGCAGGGAGUGAAACAUAACCACACAAUGGCUGAAAAUUAUGGAUAAAAAGUCUUCUGGCCUUCACACAAGUACAUAAAUGUGUACACAAGAGAUCUAGUCCGCCAGCUAAGGGAAAACAACAUAAAUGUUGUAAAAGCAUACAACAUAAUUGCAGCAUUCUUUGGGAAUGAAGGGGAUUUGGUGUUCGCAAAACAGCCACUUCAAGUUUGGGAACUAAGGAGCAGGCAAACGACGAUGUCUGAAAACCGUCGAGGCAUUCGAUGAACUAGGAGCUAAGGACCCAGACUUCAUGUUUAGGGUGCAAACAGACGAUAAAGUUCGAAUCAAGAAUCUUAUGUGGACCACAGGGGCAAUGCAAUACAAGUUCUUUUGGUAUUCGACAUUACAUACAAGACCAACUUGAAUGACAUGGCAUUUGGUUUGUUUGUGAGGGGUAAAUAACCACUUCAAAGAGCAUUUGGCUGGUGUCAUGUUUGUGAGGGGUAAACAACCACUUCAAAGAGCAUUUGGCUGGUGUCAUGUUCCGGGACGAUCAGGUUGAGAACUUUGAAAUGGGUUUUUGCAAAGUUUGUCUGAAUGAUGGGAGGAAUUCCAGCUAAAACAAUAGUAACUUGUAAGUUGAUGUCUGAAAACAUUUUUCUUUUUUGCUACGGGGAAGAAGAUGUGUCCAAGAUGAUCUGGGAGGAGUCGGCUAAAUUAAUGGCAAUAGGCAAUACUAGUGGUCCAGGUUAGUAUGAUGAACGUACAUAAGAGAUUCUUUGUCAUGUACCGUUGGACCAAGUGGUGCUGCAAAGCAUUGAUUAUCUCUGCCCAACAGGGACCAAGCACUGUUCAAAAAGAGAGAUACGAAGGGGAUACAUUGUUGUAUACACUGACAAAUGGAGCAGCCGGCAGAAGGACACAAAAAUAUUUUUUUUUGUGAAACUUGGCGCGAGGGUGCAGUCGGCUUGGAAGACCACGGCAGGGCGUCCAAUGGCACAUACAUCGGGAUUCGGAAGAUGGUAGAAAGGAGCUGCACCAACGAGCCAACUGUGCGCAUGUGAGCCUGUGAUACCACCGGCUUGGAAGACCACGGCAGGGCGUCCAAUGGCACAUACAUCGGGAUUCGGAAGAUGGUAGAAAGGAGCUGCACCAACGAGCCAACUGUGCGCAUGUGGGCCUGUGAUACCAGUACGACCACCAAAGCCCCCACAACUCCCAUUUCUAGCAUCUGCAGAUUAUCUUUUUCACACAGGACACAAAUUUUUUUUUUCUUGUGAAACUUGGCGCGAGGGUGCAGCCGGCUUGGAAGACCACGGCAGGGCGUCCAAUGGCACAUACAUCGGGAUUCGGAAGAUGGUAGAAAGGAGCUGCACCAACGAGCCAACUAUGCGCAUGUGAGCCUGUGAUACCAGGGUUUGCACGAGCCCAUCAAUGGGUUCACUAUAUCCGCCCCGACUGGUUUCGGCCCAGCCACAGAAGAACCCCCGGCAGCAUUCUAAACAGGCCAGCUUUUUCAACGACGAGGGCUAGCUUAUCCCAGAAUGUGAACUCCGCACCUUCUGAUUGCUAGCUCCAAGAGAGUAGGAGACGCCGUGCCUCGCUGAAACAUCCCUGCGGCAUGCACAAGUUACAGCAUAACACAUGGCAUCAGGCAACCACACGUGUAAUGCAAGAUCGGUUUGUAUGACGAUGAAGAUGAUGCACAACUUUACUCAGGCUGCAAGCAGGGUGUAUUAACGAAGAGCUUCCUUCACGUCGGGCUUCUCCGGAUUCUGCUCCGAGGCCUUCUGAGCGCUAGCAUAAUCGUAACACAAGCGCCGAUCAGAUAAGCUGUCGAUAAGCUAAAUAUACAUGUGAAUCGGUUCAGCCACACACGGGAUAGAUAAUGUGUCGAGAUUCAAGAGUGUGGACAACUAAAUGUGACUUUCUGAGUUUCUAUAGUACGGAGUAGCUAUUUUCAGGAGGGAGAAAUGAUAGAAGUGU